AUUAGGCUGACGAAUCCCAAAUAGGACGAAAUGCGCAUUCUUGGU
Molecule: non-coding RNA, 45 nt
Filed under: Trichobilharzia regenti
Lineage: Eukaryota; Metazoa; Platyhelminthes; Trematoda; Strigeidida; Schistosomatidae
Source: RNAcentral